UGUAGAACUGUUUCAGGUUCAAAAUAAUAAUAACCAUGUGUGUAGCAAUUUCGAUACAGGCGUGUACUACUGCUCCAUUAACUUCGAAUGAGGUAAUUGUACCGUCACUGGACCAUUUCUUUUUUUGGGGUUCACCAAUGCAGUGGAACUAUUUUAUUUCCAGACGAGAACACACCACUCCCAUUCCCAUACACAUAUACUCCGUACGUCCGACUCUGGAGGAGUUCAACAAUUAGCUGACCAGGCAGGUGUCCGUUUAUAUCAGGUUCGUUAAAGAAUUAUGGUAAGUAGCAGCUCUCCAAAGUUUCUCAAUAUUUGAUAGCCGAAGCCACACAAUUACAACAACCAGACCCUUAGAAAUAUGCGUUGCGUUUUCAGAGUCAAAACCAAGACCUCCACAGGAGACAGGCUAAUGGAAAAUAUACAGGGGAGAAGUGAAAUUGCUAGUGUCGGAUGGACAUUUGGAGAUCGACAGCAAAACCCUCCACACCUGAAAUGGCAUGGCUAACUUCCCCAGUACUCCCACUUUAUUCAGAGCAUUUCCUGGGAUUUCCGUACAGCGCGCCUGACCUUCUUCUUGAACUCAUCCUGCUUCUCUCUCCAGUCCUUCUGCACAAGAAACAUCCAUUAGGAAGUGCAAAAGGGUACUAUAGCGAUAACUUUCCAUUCAGCAAAAAGACAGCUCAAAUUACAAAUAUUGCAAGGUUAGCAUAAGACAGUGAAGAGCUGGCUGCAAGAGUAUCUCAUGGAACCUUUAGGCCUAGUUUGGUAGCAAGGGAUCACCCCAGGAUCCCCGUCAUUUGCCUGGGUGGGAAGAGCACGAGUUAAUUUAGCCCCGGUCUUUACGCAGGCCCGACCCACCCCAAUUCCCUGGCUAGGAAACCCUUGCCUCAUCACUCCGGAAAAGUUCUCCCCGUCCUUCUGACGACGCGCCACUGCCCGCGACGCGAAGUUCUGGUGUCCUCCACCUCACAACCUGCUCUGCUGCGGCUAGGAAAUAAGACGCUACACGCUAGCAUCCGCUUCUCUCUCCCAAAUGGUCACACAAUUUUCCGCGGGGCUUAUAAGAAUAUUCCACCCAGGUCGUCUUUUCCCUGGAAAUAGCUACCAGGUCUUAAGGGUUCUAGGUAACCUCAACAGGAUGGUGUUGAUGAUAAUAUUAACAAUGAUUUCUCAAAAAGAAUUAAGAACAAGUCCAGUUACAUUCUGGGUUCGCUUAGAUGCAUAGUUAGGUUAGCUAUAUGUCUUCUGGCUGCAUGUCUUGCUGAAUAGCACUGGUGAGAUCCAUGAUUCUUAUUUUAGUUGCAUGUGCCAUUUUUUUGGAUACUUAACAUACCCAGUUGACUAGUAGAAAUUUAUCAUAGCUCUAGUUCGUCUCUUAGGCUCAGCUCUAUCUUAAGAGAUAAUAAACAAAAUCUCUAGUUAAAACCGCAUUGUCGUCUUUCUUGACCGGCUAUGUCCUAGAUCCGUUCAUCCCCAAACCGCAUUGUCGUCUUUUCUUUCUUGAUCAGCUAUAUCCUAGAUCCAUUCAUCCCCAACCAGUACCCUCCAUCACCAAGCAGCCUGCUACUUCAAGCCAUUGCUGUCUGGUCUCUUUACAAUGGAUAUUACGUAAUGUGACCUAACAUGCACAACAAUUAACUUCCUUAGAACUGUCAGCACAGAAUAUUCAGCAUUGGCGAGUAACAGCAACUGUAAUUGCUUCUUUUUUACAAUAUAUCAAUAGAUAGCAGCACCCGCUGCACCUUAAAGAUCAUUGAACUCAUGAAAACAAGGGGAUGGGAUGAUUUGUCAUCUAGACAAAUCACCAGGAAAAUGAAAUUUUCUUGGGAAUUAUUAAAGUUAACUUACAGCUGCUUCAAUAUUUGCCGGUGAUUCAUCAUUUGGACUAGAAAGCAUCGAAAUGAUGCUUAAUACUAUACUCUCAACCUGCAAAUGGAGACCAAAGUUUAAAUUAACAACUAUUAUAAGCAUACACAAACAUUGGCAUGUGUCUGCUAACUAUUCACCUUCAGAUCAGAAACUAAAAAGGAAACGGAAAAUCUGGUCAAGAGGAGCACUCCAAUCAAGUGGAAAAUACUCAAUGUUGAGCUCAUAAUUAACCCAAAGAAAUAUAUAUGCUUGAGAGGAGAACUGUGAAACAUGUACCGCAUUUCAAAGUGCCAUCGUAGGAGUGUAAUUAAUAAGAUGACCAUCUCUUUCUGAUGAUGGAUUCAAAAGCAUGUAUAAAAAUCAAGUGCUCUGGUAUUUUUCAAGCAUUUAUAACAAUCAGCAUAUGAAGUGUGAGCAUUUUCAGAAGAUGGUGUUCAUUCAUACAACAAGAAAACAGAAUCCUAUAAGACCAAAACAGUCAAAGCCUCUUCAUGUUUUUCAACCUUCAUUAAAUGAACCAACUAAACUGAUACGAAAUUGAGACUGUCAACGCUCAUACGUAGACAAUGAUGUAGUACUCUAACCAUAGACAUGACAACACUUUAGCCCAAUGAUUAUAACACCGUAUUUGAGCAUCUUUCUUAUUAAAAGGACAAACAAAAAGGNNNNNNNNNNNNNNNNNNNNNNNNNNNNNNNNNNNNNNNNNNNNNNNNNNNNNNNNNNNNNNNNNNNNNNNNNNNNNNNNNNNNNNNNNNNNNNNNNNNNAGCAAUUUCGAUACAGGCGUGUACUACUGCUCCAUUAACUUCGAAUGAGGUAAUUGUACCGUCACUGGACCAUUUCUUUUUUUGGGGUUCACCAAUGCAGUGGAACUAUUUUAUUUCCAGACGAGAACACACCACUCCCAUUCCCAUACACAUAUACUCCGUACGUCCGACUCUGGAGGAGUUCAACAAUUAGCUGACCAGGCAGGUGUCCGUUUAUAUCAGGUUCGUUAAAGAAUUAUGGUAAGUAGCAGCUCUCCAAAGUUUCUCAAUAUUUGAUAGCCGAAGCCACACAAUUACAACAACCAGACCCUUAGAAAUAUGCGUUGCGUUUUCAGAGUCAAAACCAAGACCUCCACAGGAGACAGGCUAAUGGAAAAUAUACAGGGGAGAAGUGAAAUUGCUAGUGUCGGAUGGACAUUUGGAGAUCGACAGCAAAACCCUCCACACCUGAAAUGGCAUGGCUAACUUCCCCAGU
RNAcentral lists this long non-coding RNA (3112 nucleotides) under Triticum aestivum (bread wheat). RNAcentral describes it as "long non-coding RNA (TAES_LNC026098)". The record is from RNAcentral. Lineage: Eukaryota; Viridiplantae; Streptophyta; Magnoliopsida; Poales; Poaceae.